RNAcentral lists this ribosomal RNA (490 nucleotides) under uncultured bacterium. RNAcentral describes it as "partial 16S ribosomal RNA". It matches the Rfam family "Bacterial small subunit ribosomal RNA", at positions 29 to 507 of the family's 1533-position model. The record is from RNAcentral.
AGUGAACGCUGGCGGUAGGCCUAACACAUGCAAGUCGAACGGCAGCACAGGAGAGCUUGCUCUCUGGGUGGCGAGUGGCGGACGGGUGAGGAAUACAUCGGAAUCUGCCCAGUCGUGGGGGAUAACUUAGGGAAACUUACGCUAAUACCGCAUACGACCUUCGGGUGAAAGAGGGGGAUCGCAAGACCUCUCGCGAUUGGAUGAGCCGAUGUCGGAUUAGCUAGUUGGCGGGGUAAUGGCCCACCAAGGCGACGAUCCGUAGCUGGUCUGAGAGGAUGAUCAGCCACACUGGAACUGAGACACGGUCCAGACUCCUACGGGAGGCAGCAGUGGGGAAUAUUGGACAAUGGGCGCAAGCCUGAUCCAGCCAUACCGCGUGGGUGAAGAAGGCCUUCGGGUUGUAAAGCCCUUUUGUUGGGAAAGAAAUCUUUCAGGCUAAUACCCUGGGAGGAUGACGGUACCCAAAGAAUAAGCACCGGCUAACUUCGUG